UCUCGCGAGGGGAAAGAUGAAAAGGACUUUGAAAAGAGAGUUAAAAAGUGCUUGAAAUUGCUGGGAGGGAAGCGAAUGGAUGCCUUUGUUGCCCGCUGGUUGUGUGCGGAACGGCGUAAAAGCUGGUCUGUCAACCAACUCAGCGGGCUCGCUAGUGUGGGGGUGGAUGCCUGGACAAAGAUCCCGGGCUUUCUGUUCGGGAUUGAUGCUGGUGUCCACUCUGUGGCCUUGGGUGUGCGCCUUUCUGGCGGGUUUGUUUACCCUGCACGCCCGGGACGCUGGUGGCUUUUGGUUUUUCAUUCGACCCGUCUUGAAACACGGACCAAGGAGUCUAACAUGUAUGCGAGCCUGCGGGUUUGACACCUCGCUAGGCGUAAGGAAACUGAUGCGUGGGAUCCCCUUUGUGGGUGCACCACCGACCGACCAUGAGCUUCUGCGAAAGGUUCGAGUUGAAGCAUACCUGCUGGGACCCGAAAGAUGGUGAACUAUGCCUGAGCAGGGCGAAGCCAGAGGAAACUCUGGUGGAGGCUCGUAGCGAUACUGACGUGCAAAUCGUUCGUCAGACUUGGGUAUAGGGGCGAAAGACUAAUCGAACCAUCUAGUAGCUGGUUCCCUCCGAAGUAUCCCUCAGGAUAGCUGGAGCUCAUAUUGAGAGUUUUAUCAGGUAAAGCGAAUGAUUAGAGGCAUUGGGGGUGAAACACCCUCGACCUAUUCUCAAACUUUAAAUAGGUAAGGUGUCGGGGUUGCUCCGGUGAACCCCGACCUUUGAAUCUGAGCUCCAAGUGGGCCAUUUUUGGUAAGCAGAACUGGA
Molecule: ribosomal RNA, 811 nt
Filed under: Lycopodioides jiulongensis
Lineage: Eukaryota; Viridiplantae; Streptophyta; Lycopodiopsida; Selaginellales; Selaginellaceae
Description: Selaginella jiulongensis partial 26S ribosomal RNA
Rfam family: Eukaryotic large subunit ribosomal RNA
Source: RNAcentral